GGUGAACGCUGGCGGCGUGCCUAACACAUGCAAGUCGAACGGCAGGACAGUAAGCUCUUGCCCUUACGGGUGGCGGGGGGCGGGUGGGUGACGCAUACAUCGCCAUCUACUUUUUCGGGGGGGAUAACGGAGGGACAGUUACGCUAAUAGCGCAUAUGUUGUACGGCUGAGAGCAGGGGUUCUUCGCACCUUUCGCGUUUGAUUUAGCUGAAGUCGGAUUAGCUAGUUGGCGGGGUAAGGGCCCACCAAGGCGACGAUCCGUAGCUGGUCUGAGAGGAUGAUCAGCCACACUGGAACUGAGACACGGUCCAGACUCCUACGGGAGGCAGCAGUGGGGAAUAUUGGACAAUGGGCGCAAGCCUGAUCCAGCCAUACCGCGUGGGUGAAGAAGGCCUUCGGGUUGUAAAGCCCUUUUGUUGGGAAAGAAAAGCAGCAGGUUAAUACCCCGCUGUUCUGACGGUACCCAAAGAAUAAGCACCGGCUAACUUCGUG
RNAcentral lists this ribosomal RNA (492 nucleotides) under uncultured bacterium. Its description in RNAcentral is "partial 16S ribosomal RNA". It matches the Rfam family "Bacterial small subunit ribosomal RNA", at positions 28 to 507 of the family's 1533-position model. The record is from RNAcentral.